UGUGGAACUCUAAAUCUACUGACACCACUGGCUGACUAAAGUUAGCCGUAGUGUGGCUUUUUCUCUUUCUGGGUCACAGAGGAGAAAUACAAAGAAAGAGGAUGGUGGCCUGGUUGACUGUGGUACCUCCAGGUGAAUCUGAUAACUAGCAGGACUCUACACGAACCACUCUACUCUACAGAUGGCAAACUUUACUAUUGGAGUAAUACCUGUUGGAACGGGAGACUGAUUCUGAAGACAAUGACGAUAAAAGGAUGCCUUACACUACAAGCUGGCCGCAUUGGUUCAUUCAGUGUGUUACCUUUGGCAUCGAGGAACUCCGAUCCUGUUUCUGAGACCUUCACUGGUGCUCUGCAGUGUCAAGGUGGAAAUGCUCAGUCAUGGGGUUGAGUGCUCAUUUUGCAUGUG
Amphiprion ocellaris (clown anemonefish) is the source of this 408-nucleotide long non-coding RNA. The record is from Ensembl. Lineage: Eukaryota; Metazoa; Chordata; Actinopteri; Pomacentridae.